RNAcentral lists this ribosomal RNA (422 nucleotides) under Bacteroidota bacterium. RNAcentral's name for it is "Bacteroidetes bacterium partial 16S ribosomal RNA". It matches the Rfam family "Bacterial small subunit ribosomal RNA", at positions 355 to 776 of the family's 1533-position model. Lineage: Bacteria; Pseudomonadati; Bacteroidota. The record is from RNAcentral.
UGGGGAAUUUUGCACAAUGUGCGCAAGCCUGAUGCAGCGACGCCGCGUGAGGGAUGAAGGCCUUCGGGUUGUAAACCUUUUUCGCUCAUGGUCAAGCCGCAGCUUUGGGUUGUGGUGAGGGUAGUGGGUAAAGAAGCGCCGGCUAACUACGUGCCAGCAGCCGCGGUAAUACGUAGGGCGCGAGCGUUGUCCGGAAUUAUUGGGCGUAAAGGGCUUGUAGGCGGUUGGCCGCGUCUGCCGUGAAAUCCUCUGGCUUAACUGGGGGCGUGCGGUGGGUACGGGUUGACUUGAGUGCGGUAGGGGAGACUGGAAUUCCUGGUGUAGCGGUGGAAUGCGCAGAUAUCAGGAGGAACGCAGGUGGAGAAGGCGGGUCUCUGGGCCGUUACUGACGCGGAGGAGCGAAAGCGUGGGGAGCGAACAGG